GGAGGAGGAGGAGGAGGAGGAGGAGGAGGAGGGGAAGGCGCGGAUGGGGAAGGAAGAGGGAAGGGUUAGGGUUAGGGUUUGGGAGAGGGGAGGGUGGUUUAUGCGGAGGCCGGUGUAGGUGGGAGGGGAGGAGACGGGGAGAAGGAGUGGGGAGUGGAGAGAGGUGAACAUGUUUUAUUUUGUGGGGGAGUGUUUUUGGAUGCAGGAGGAGGAGGAGGAGGUG
Molecule: long non-coding RNA, 223 nt
Filed under: Ananas comosus (pineapple)
Lineage: Eukaryota; Viridiplantae; Streptophyta; Magnoliopsida; Poales; Bromeliaceae
Description: long non-coding RNA (ACOM_LNC009228)
Source: RNAcentral